Molecule: non-coding RNA, 609 nt
Organism: Salvelinus sp. IW2-2015
Lineage: Eukaryota; Metazoa; Chordata; Actinopteri; Salmoniformes; Salmonidae
Source: RefSeq, a predicted model, not a curated record
CUUGUGCUCGAGUGAGAGAGUGGAAGGGGGAGCAGAGGAAGGGUGUGUGUAGACCUAAACAAAGUGAGAAAGAGAGGGUGAGAAGCCAAUUCCUUAGUUUGGAAAUGUGGACAGGUAGUAAGAGCAUGUGAAUGAUCGAGAAAGGGAGAGAUGUGGUCUCAUCAGAGAUGAUGUUUGCAACAUAGCAGAUUGCAGUUGGACCACUGAACUGGUGCACAGUAGUGUGAACAAGCUAACUGUGAGAUUUCAGAGAGAGGGGGAAGAGAGAGAGAGUUACUGACACAGGAACAAAGAGCAGAGGGAGAAAGAGAGAGAGGCAAAGAGAAACGUUAGACAGUGGACUUUCUGUUCCUUUCACUAACAGCUGAGAUGGAGGAGUAAAUGUGGACAGUUGCUACAGGCACAUCAGAGUAUUCAGGGACCAAUAAUACAUAUACAUUACUCUGGUGGGAGAGAAAGGAGACAGCGAGAAACAACACUGGAUAACCCUGGACUGGACUUCUUGUAGGAGGAGCGGUGGAUGAAUACAAGGUGUGUAGCCCGGCUCCUCUGGGUCGUGUCCUUUUGGUGCGUCUGGAGAAACAGAGGUACUGGGUAGAGGAUAACUGG